AUUGAACGCUGGCGGCAGGCCUAACACAUGCAAGUCGAACGGUAACAGGAAACAGCUUGCUGUUUCGCUGACGAGUGGCGGACGGGUGAGUAAUGUCUGGGAAACUGCCUGAUGGAGGGGGAUAACUACUGGAAACGGUAGCUAAUACCGCAUAACGUCGCAAGACCAAAGAGGGGGACCUUCGGGCCUCUUGCCAUCGGAUGUGCCCAGAUGGGAUUAGCUAGUAGGUGGGGUAACGGCUCACCUGGGCGACGAUCCCUAGCUGGUCUGAGAGGAUGACCAGCCACACUGGAACUGAGACACGGUCCAGACUCCUACGGGAGGCAGCAGUGGGGAAUAUUGCACAAUGGGCGCAAGCCUGAUGCAGCCAUGCCGCGUGUAUGAAGAAGGCCUUCGGGUUGUAAAGUACUUUCAGCGGGGAGGAAGGGAGUAAAGUUAAUACCUUUACUCAUUGACGUUACCCGCAGAAGAAGCACCGGCUAACUCCGUG
Molecule: ribosomal RNA, 490 nt
Filed under: uncultured bacterium
Lineage: Bacteria
Description: partial 16S ribosomal RNA
Rfam family: Bacterial small subunit ribosomal RNA
Source: RNAcentral